GCGGCUGCGGAUGUAAACACAGCCUGGGGCGCCGCGGGACACGUGCGCCGCGCGCCAGCCGCCGGAGCCCGGGAGCCCGGGGCCGCCUCUGCCCCGCCUCGGUGGCCACGCUCCGGGAUGGCGUCUGCAGCCGAGAACUUUUAGGCAAGGAAGUAUUGAAGCAACUUUGGAGUACAUCCUCUUUGAUCGGAUGUGAGAGAGGAGAUAAACUCCUCACGUCUCUCAGGAUCAGCCCUUCAAGUGCACGUUGGUUCCAGCUUAAAGAACUGCAGAAUCCGGGGCCGGCGCUGUGGUGGAGCGGGUAAAGCCGCCGCCUAUGGUGCCGGCAUUUCAUGUGGUCUCCGAUUCAAGUCCUGGCUGCUCCACUUCCAAUCCAGCUCUCUGCUGUGGCCUGGGAAAGCAGUAGAAGAUGGCCCAAGUGCUUGGGCCGCUGCACCCACGUGGGUGACCCGGAGGAAGCUCCUGGCUUCGGAUCGGCUCAGCUCAGGCUGUUGUGGCCAUCUGGGGAGUGAACCAGCGGAUGGAAGACCUCCCUCCCGCCCCGCCUCUCCUCUCUCUAACUUUCAAAUAAAUAAAUAAAUCUUAAAAAAAAAAAAAAAAAAGAACUGCAGAAUUGGAGCUGGUGUAGUGGCGCAGUGGGUUAAGCUGCUGCCUGCAGUGCUGGACCUCAGAACACCUGCUGCUCAGUUCCAGUCCUCCCUGCUAAUCUGUCUGGGAAAGCAGUGGAAGAUGGCCCAAGUACUUGGACCCCUGCCACCCUGGUGGGAGACCUGGGUGGAGUCCCUGUCUCCUGGCCUUGGUCUGGCCCAGUCCUGGCCCAGCUGUGACUGCUGCAGCCAUCUGGGGAGUAAACUAGUGGAUGAAAGAUCUUUCUCUCUCUGUGCAACCCUGCCUUUCAAAUAAACAAAUCUGUUUUAAGAACUAGAAAAUAAAUUAUCACUCCACUAGAUGUGCCAGCAUAAUAAUUUCAAUAAAAGCAUUUAAAAAUG
This is a non-coding RNA of Oryctolagus cuniculus (rabbit), 989 nucleotides long. Lineage: Eukaryota; Metazoa; Chordata; Mammalia; Lagomorpha; Leporidae. The record is from RefSeq and is a predicted model, not a curated record.